This 260-nucleotide ribosomal RNA is filed under the name uncultured archaeon. RNAcentral describes it as "partial 16S ribosomal RNA". It matches the Rfam family "Archaeal small subunit ribosomal RNA", at positions 748 to 1004 of the family's 1478-position model. The record is from RNAcentral.
CAGCCGUAAACUAUGCGCGUUAGGUGUACUGGUGACCACGAGUCACCGGGGUGCCGAAGGGAAACCGUGAAACGUGCCGCCUGGGAAGUACGGUCGCAAGGCUGAAACUUAAAGGAAUUGGCGGGGGAGGCACCACAACGGGUGGAGCCUGCGGGUUUAAUUUGGACUCAACGCCGGAAAUCUCACCGGAUAGGACAGACAUAUGAUAGUCGGGCUGAAGACUCUACUUGAUGAUCUGAGAGGAGGUGCAUGGCGUCAGU